This 253-nucleotide ribosomal RNA is filed under the name uncultured bacterium. RNAcentral's name for it is "partial 16S ribosomal RNA". It matches the Rfam family "Bacterial small subunit ribosomal RNA", at positions 524 to 776 of the family's 1533-position model. The record is from RNAcentral.
UACGUAGGGACCGAGCGUUGUCCGGAAUCAUUGGGCGUAAAGCGCGCGUAGGCGGUUACUUAAGUCGAAUGUGAAAGCCCUCGGCUUAACCGAGGAAGUGCAUCCGAAACUGAGUAGCUAGAGUACGAAAGAGGGUCGCGGAAUUCCCGGUGUAGAGGUGAAAUUCGUAGAUAUCGGGAGGAACACCGGUGGCGAAGGCGGCGACCUGGGUCGAGACUGACGCUGAGGCGCGAAAGCGUGGGGAGCAAACAGG